CCUACAAAUAGUCAGAGCCCGUUAAUGGGUGAUGGCGUGCCUUUUGUAGAAUGAACCGGCGAGUUACGAUCCCGUGCGAGGUUAAGCUGAAGAGGCGGAGCCGCAGCGAAAGCGAGUCUGAAUAGGGCGUUUAGUACGUGGUCGUAGACCCGAAACCAGGUGAUCUACCCAUGUCCAGGGUGAAGUUCAGGUAACACUGAAUGGAGGCCCGAACCCACGCACGUU
RNAcentral lists this ribosomal RNA (225 nucleotides) under Bacillus cereus. RNAcentral's name for it is "partial 23S ribosomal RNA". It matches the Rfam family "Bacterial large subunit ribosomal RNA", at positions 563 to 790 of the family's 2925-position model. The record is from RNAcentral. Lineage: Bacteria; Bacillati; Bacillota; Bacilli; Caryophanales; Bacillaceae.